CCCAGCAGCCCCCCAACAACCCCACCAGCCAUCCGAAGAGGAUAAUGGCCCCCGCCAUGCCCAUGAAUCCGGCUGUCAUCCGCCGCAGGUCUGUGGGAGCAAAGGCAGGCUGAAGAGCGAGCGGUGCUUGUGUGUGAGGUUUAUUUAUUCUUUGAGCCUGUAUCAGUAGCCAGUAUUGUAUCUGAUUUGGGCUUCCGAUGUACUGGACAGAAGAUUACGCUCCGCGCAGGACUGAAGGACAGAAGCUCAGCUUCUCACCGGCCUGCGGGUGAACUGGGAGGUUAGAAGUGAAGCUGCCUAAUCACUGGAUCUGAAGCGAGAUCCACGUUGCUGGAAGUUGUACAGCUCAGGGGUUUUCAGCUUUUCUUAAAACAGAACCCCCCCCCCCCCCAAUGAAAACAGACCGGUGCUAGGAAUACUCCCCCACUAAUGUGAGAUUGCAUGAAUUAUUAAGAACUAAAGAUCCGGGGACUUCAAUACUUCUUUCCCCAUUGGGGGGCCCUUUCAAUAGUUUUCGCUCUGAGUGGGAAGCCUUUAGUUUAAUUUUUGCAUGUUGAAAGCCCCUGUUGUGGUGGACGAUGUGAAGUAUCACUAGACUAUAAAUGAAGGAUUCAAUGGGAUUAACAGGCAGUACGGCCAACCUGAUCUUAUUAUGAACAGGUUUGCUCUGAGAGGCCUACUUUUCAUGUCAAAUACAUAUUAAUGAUUCAAAUACAGAAUCCAUUGGUCCUAGAACUCCUAGAAUAUGGUCACAGAUGUAGUAACACAUUAACCCUAAAUGUUAGAUUGGCUGCUUAUGACAGGCAGGAGUGAGAGUGUUGUGGGUGGUGUGUGCAGGGUGCGUGAGUAGUUAUUCUUUCCCAGUAAGGAACAGGCACUGGGCCAAACAGGGGUCUACAGCCUGCGAAUAUGACCACCCACUAAGCUCGCGCUGAGCUCCAGCCCUCAAGGGAUGACCUAGAAUGAGUCAAACCACAAGUAUUGUAGAGCAUAAAUCUGAGUAUAUUACAUUUGCUGGAAUAACUGACCCUUCAGUAUUAUGAAGCACUAUCAAGCAGAAGCAGGGACCAUUUUAAUACCUCUAUAGGAAGAGUUUCUGUAUCUCAAAUUACAAAUAGCACUUGGCUUUCCAGAGGUGAAAGGUUCAUCAGCUCAAAGUUGUAAUAUUACUCAUGAUAAUAAUCUGGAUCUGCUGUAGUUCAAAAAAAAAAAACAAGCUGAAAAUACCUCUGACCUUGGAAAAACGCGACCCAGAGCUCACUGCACCUGCUUCUCCUGCUUUUAUUCUCUCCUUCUAAUUUUCAGACACAGCGGGGAAUUCAGAGUUGCUGAUGAUUAAUAGGCUGACCGCAUGCAACACUUCAGGCAAUUAGGGAAGAACUGACCCCAGAAGCCUAGGUGCCCUGUCCAAGUCUGUCCGUACCCUGCAACGGUGCUCCUUCUUUUAAUUAUAGCUUUUGCUUGCUUGUUCUACAGAAGGUAAUAUGGUGAAGCAGGUCCACUGUACUUUAUAACUUAUGUCUCAUGAUAUUUGUCUUGCACGCCGCGAUCUGUUACCACAAUAAUUCCAAGUACGAACCUUGCAAUCGCACACAGCAUAGAGGACAAAACCCCUUGAUAAAGACGUGAGCAUUAGCAGGAUGUGAUAAUCAGCUAGAAUUAGAGUCAGAUGAACACGUAGGAUGCUCCUGUAGGGCUGAGAACUUACUCGCUGUGACCUCCAGAAUGCAGCACGAUCAGGCUGGGGGGGACAGGAACCGCAGCGGGAAUGUGCUUGGAGCCGUCACCUGCUACAUGGAGGCCAAAAGCGCUCACCUACUCAUACCUGCUAGUACUGUAGGUACGUUCAAGGCAUCCAAAUUCAGAGCUCCAGUGAUAGGCCGCUAUAACAGGCAGUUCCCAGGCUACAAACGAGAUCCGUUCCCUCUGUCUGUCUUUAAGUCGAAUUUGUAGGUAAGUCAGAAAAAUUAUGAUCAGAGGUGGAGAUUUCAGGUCCAGAGAGUACAAAUCC
Paramormyrops kingsleyae is the source of this 2011-nucleotide non-coding RNA. Lineage: Eukaryota; Metazoa; Chordata; Actinopteri; Osteoglossiformes; Mormyridae. The record is from RefSeq and is a predicted model, not a curated record.